RNAcentral lists this non-coding RNA (181 nucleotides) under Telenomus remus. The record is from RNAcentral. Lineage: Eukaryota; Metazoa; Arthropoda; Insecta; Hymenoptera; Scelionidae.
UAACAUUGAGUAAUUGCUGUGUUGGCUCGGCUGUGUUAGAAGGUACUCUGUGCCUUGCAGUCGGGCCUAGUAAAUAACAAAGAUUGUGUAUACACAAUCAUUGUGACUCGAACCCUUGGUGUUUUCUUGUACGUUAUUUCACCGUUCAAAAAAAUAUAACGGACCGCUCACAGCUUUUUUU